Molecule: transfer RNA, 64 nt
Filed under: Trachypeplus jacobsoni
Lineage: Eukaryota; Metazoa; Arthropoda; Insecta; Hemiptera; Tingidae
Description: tRNA-Pro
Source: RNAcentral
CAAUGGGUAUUUUAUAAAAAUAUUAAUUUUGGAGAUUAAAGAAGAAGUUUUACUUUUCCGUUGA